Molecule: transfer RNA, 26 nt
Filed under: Anolis cybotes (large-headed anole)
Lineage: Eukaryota; Metazoa; Chordata; Lepidosauria; Squamata; Anolidae
Description: partial tRNA-Asx
Source: RNAcentral
CUGAAUAGGCGGGCCUCGANCCCGCG